AAAAUUAACCUCCAGCGAAAGCACUCUGUCCUCACAAAAGACUACCCUUCAAGAAAGAUUGGCGAAAAAACGGAUUCAGAAGCUGAGAGCAUUGCCGACUGCAAACAAGGAAGUAACGCUACAUGACCGACAGAGGUAGGAGAGAUUACCUACUUCAAGUUCCGACUCGAAAAUUGCACCUCGUGUUACCAGUUGUAAGAGCAGUCGCCGUCAUGAACCCUCUCUCACGUCGGAAUGAUCGAAUCCUCCACAACAGAGGGGGCGCAUCUGGCGUAGAUAUGCUGGAAGAGCAGAACUACUGCGACGCGGGUUUUCGGUGGGUCCCACUAGCUCCUUGCCGCUUCUUGGUCUCUGGUCCGAUGGAGAUAGUGAUGACGGUCAUUGCGUCUACUACGCUGGCCUUUUGGUAAACUGCAUGCCUCCGUUUUCAAACUCCAGGGUUGAGUCCACGCAUCUGACCGUGUGACUCUGCCUGCUUUCCACUCUGCCUCUCCUACAACGCAUAACCCAGAUUCUCCGGGAUGAGAGAGUGUUGUUGUGUCUGGGACCUCCCUCCAUGCCGCAUAUUUUUAUCUGCUGUGGGCGACCCCCGUCGGAUCCGGUGCAAACAGACAUGCCCUCUGAAGUCAAAGCCAAUACAGUGAUGAUGGUACACUCCAUGUAUUAGUGGGUAUAUAUAUAUAUAUAUAUAUAUAUAUAUAUAAGGUUUUUCAGUUAUAUACUUAUGUAUCCUUUUGUGUGCUUUACAUUGUGAGAACCAGGGUCCGAGAUUUUUCAGAACUUCCACAUCUUGCAUUACUGUGGGGUUUUGGGUGACAACUUCUGGGGUUGUACAUUUGGUGUCUGGCUGCUGUAACCCUCUCUCACAGCUAGAUAAGAGUACUUGGACUUGGCUAACUGACACCUACUGUUCACCAAACUCAGUUAGAAUGCAUUCCUGAUAAUGUACAAGUCAGUAGCGGUAAACUGAGGGUAUAUAGAUAAAUUCCAUAAUGUUUAAUGCUAUCUCCCAAGCAGUUGAAAUUGUAACAACAGAAAAAUAAAUAAACUUUUUCAUCCAGCGUCCACGCAUACAACAAAUGCAA
This 1085-nucleotide long non-coding RNA is filed under the name Physcomitrium patens. RNAcentral's name for it is "long non-coding RNA (PPAT_LNC013180)". The record is from RNAcentral. Lineage: Eukaryota; Viridiplantae; Streptophyta; Bryopsida; Funariales; Funariaceae.